This 88-nucleotide ribosomal RNA is filed under the name Atractylodes lancea subsp. luotianensis. Lineage: Eukaryota; Viridiplantae; Streptophyta; Magnoliopsida; Asterales; Asteraceae. The record is from RNAcentral.
GAUCCCAUCAGAACUCCGAAGUUAAGCGUGCUUGGGCGAAAGUAGUACUAGGAUGGGUGACCCCCUGGGAAGUCCUCGUGUUGCACCC